This is a long non-coding RNA of Fundulus heteroclitus (mummichog), 410 nucleotides long. RefSeq lists it as uncharacterized. The transcript is spliced from 3 exons. The record is from RefSeq and is a predicted model, not a curated record. NCBI's taxonomy places the organism in Eukaryota, Metazoa, Chordata, Actinopteri, Cyprinodontiformes, Fundulidae.
CAGAAAGGUACUUCUUCAGCAUCAUCCAGCCUUGUAACAAGUGUGGGACUGCCUUCUACUGCAUUAAUUCAGACCUGGGGAUGAUGUAUCUAGAGAAACAAAGCUCGACCACAAAGAACCAUGUCAGAAAAACCCAAAGGAUAGACACACAAUAAUCAGGGUCCUCUAUGAAGCUGUUGCACAGCAUACAAUGUAUCCCACAAAUGCGGAAUAUGUCCAGGCUGUAAAGAUGUUGAUUGUGAAGUAUCUUUUUCUCAGGGAUCUUGAAGGAAAUGGUUACGUAAGUGAAACUGUAAAUCAGUGUAUUUAGUGUUGGGGAUUAAUGUAAAAUAUAAAAUUAGGAAUUUUACAGGUAUUCUGGGUUUUAGGCAUAGUUAAUGUCUUCCCUGUUUCUCUGAACAGAAAUGUUG